This is a long non-coding RNA of Amphiprion ocellaris (clown anemonefish), 1888 nucleotides long. RefSeq lists it as uncharacterized. Lineage: Eukaryota; Metazoa; Chordata; Actinopteri; Pomacentridae. The transcript is spliced from 8 exons. The record is from RefSeq and is a predicted model, not a curated record.
GUACAUAAGCACAAAUAGAAAUGUCAUGUUAGAAGUUUCUGUUAUAAUUUGUCAAGUAGUUGAAAUAUGUCAUACAGUGUUGUUAGAAAGCCCUCAUAUUUUGAUCAUGAUGUUGUAUGGGUUGCGUUAUAGUUGUAUUUCCUCCCUUGUUGAGCUAAUCGGAUGUUUGUGUUUUUUUACGUAAUGUCCUUGAACGCACCUCGUGUGUGACUUAGCUUUUCUCCAUGUUGCAGCACAGUUGUUAGCUAGUUCUCGCCUGUGCACAUGUCUGAACUGGAUGCAUGUUGCAUUUUUUUCUUCCUUAACCUGCUGUGUGUAAAUGAUGAAGAACCACAGCUAGCCACAGUUAUCCACAAGUAGCCACAGUUGUCUACCAGUGCAGCACAGAGUUAUCUGCAACAACAAUAAACAUCAUUAACCUGGAAAGUCUGGCUGCCGUGUUCUUUAACGGGCACACCUUCAUACCUUGUACCACUCUGAAAAUACCUACCUGGAGAACCCUCACUCGCGGUUAGAGGGUUAGAGUUGGAGUUAUAUGUCGGUGAACGGUUUCUGUCGGGUUCGCUCAAAGUCGGGCCAGUGGACGGCAUUUGCAGAGACUAUGCGCCUGGGAAGAGCUUCAGCUUUCAGAUCAGAGGUGAAAAAGUCAGCCUGGUGGCUGUGGACAACGCUGUGUAUCUUCUCAACAAGGACAGACUCACACAGAGGAAGCCGUGCAGUGUCCAGGCAGUACCAGAAGGAGACGCUCUGCUGAACUGUUGAAGCGUAAAGCUCAGCUGGUUGCCUGCUAAUCUCGAUUUGGAAGUAGAGGCUCGAGGAAAUGGACAAGGAAUACUAGAGUACAGGGAAAGACAACCACGGGUUGUGACCUAUUACAAUCAGCUGCAUGAGGUGGAAGAGAAAAUGCCCUGCAAGCACUUUGAUCUCAACGUCACUUUUGAAGGAUCCAGCGGGCUCUAGGACCCAGAGACGUCAGGAUGGUGGUUCUUGAUAUCAGUCUACCAACUGGAUUCACCCCAGAAAACUCUGACCUGGAGAUGCUGUCCAAUUCAGUGCAUCGUUACAUCAGUAACUUCCAGAUUGUAGACAACCUGAGUGACAGAGGCUCCCUGAUCAUUCACCUGUUCAAAGUAACAUCACUGUAUUUAUAAUUAUUAUUCUAUAUCAUAGCAUUUUAUGUUAUUCAUAUGCUUUUCUUUUUUUCCAAGAAGCAGGUUUCUCAAUGCUCAGUAAAUAAGUCUUUAUGACCACAGUCAACAAUCUGAGGCAGUUUUAGGCUAUUACACAAAACCAGCUUAUUGGUACCAAAGCCACGGUUCAGAACUCAGACUUGCUAAAUCAGUGUUAGUGUAGUGCAGUGUAGGGCUGCAGCCAGAGUACUGAGGAUAGUUAGCAAGAGAGAUCAUAUUUCUCCUAUGCUGGUUUCUCUUCAUUGGCUUCCUGUGAAAUGUAGAAUAGAAUUCAAAAUCCUUCUUCUGACAUAUAAAGCUCUUAACAACCACUCUCCAUCAUAUCUUAAAGACCUGAUAGUACCAUAUUAUCCUAGCAGAACUCUUCGCUCUCAGACUGCAGGCUUACUUGGAGAAGUGACCUGUAACUUCUCUCUAAAAGUAGAAUGGGAGGCAGAGCCUUCAGUUAUUAGCUCCUCUCCUGUGGAACCAGCUCCCAGUUUGGGUUCUGGAGGCGGACACCCUCUCUAAUUUUAAGACCAGGCUUAAAACCUUCCUUUUUGACAAAUCUUAUAGUUAGGACUGACUGGGGGACCCUGAGGGGGUCAGCUGGAGUCUUCCUCUUGGACGUCCCUUAGUUCUGCCCCUAGUUCUGCUGCUAUAGGCCUAGGCUGCUGGAGGACCUCUCUGGAUGCACUGAGCCCUUCUCUAUCUACCAU